AGAGAGAUCGAGAGAUCAAAAACUGCACGCUCUAAAAACUGAAACCCAAAACACACAAUCAUCCAUUCUUUCCAUUUGUUAACACAAACGGCCAAAAGAAAAGAUUUUCCCUGUCGAUAAAAAACAAAAAACAGAAGCCAAUUGACAUAUUUCCAUGGUUUGCAAUCAAGAAUGAAAAGAAGUCUCUCACUUUCCUGUCAGAUUUCUUCAUCUAACUGUCCGUUAAUUUCUUUCAUCGUUUAACAUUUUCAUAUGCACGCCCUCAAGUUCAACCAGGAACUAGAUUCUCUCGACAUUAUUAGACUUUUCACUUUUGUGAGGUGCAAACUGGAAUUUUGUGUAUGGACAUGAUGCUAUAGAUUUCUGUUGGGUAUCAGUAUAGCCAAUUCAUAUUUCAUGGG
This is a long non-coding RNA of Quercus lobata, 401 nucleotides long. RefSeq lists it as uncharacterized. Lineage: Eukaryota; Viridiplantae; Streptophyta; Magnoliopsida; Fagales; Fagaceae. The record is from RefSeq and is a predicted model, not a curated record. The transcript is spliced from 3 exons.